Molecule: ribosomal RNA, 2285 nt
Filed under: Staphylococcus aureus
Lineage: Bacteria; Bacillati; Bacillota; Bacilli; Caryophanales; Staphylococcaceae
Description: bacterial LSU rRNA
Rfam family: Bacterial large subunit ribosomal RNA
Source: RNAcentral
AGGGCGCACGGUGGAUGCCUUGGCACUAGAAGCCGAUGAAGGACGUUACUAACGACGAUAUGCUUUGGGGAGCUGUAAGUAAGCUUUGAUCCAGAGAUUUCCGAAUGGGGAAACCCAGCAUGAGUUAUGUCAUGUUAUCGAUAUGUGAAUACAUAGCAUAUCAGAAGGCACACCCGGAGAACUGAAACAUCUUAGUACCCGGAGGAAGAGAAAGAAAAUUCGAUUCCCUUAGUAGCGGCGAGCGAAACGGGAAGAGCCCAAACCAACAAGCUUGCUUGUUGGGGUUGUAGGACACUCUGUACGGAGUUACAAAGGACGACAUUAGACGAAUCAUCUGGAAAGAUGAAUCAAAGAAGGUAAUAAUCCUGUAGUCGAAAAUGUUGUCUCUCUUGAGUGGAUCCUGAGUACGACGGAGCACGUGAAAUUCCGUCGGAAUCUGGGAGGACCAUCUCCUAAGGCUAAAUACUCUCUAGUGACCGAUAGUGAACCAGUACCGUGAGGGAAAGGUGAAAAGCACCCCGGAAGGGGAGUGAAAUAGAACCUGAAACCGUGUGCUUACAAGUAGUCAGAGCCCGUUAAUGGGUGAUGGCGUGCCUUUUGUAGAAUGAACCGGCGAGUUACGAUUUGAUGCAAGGUUAAGCAGUAAAUGUGGAGCCGUAGCGAAAGCGAGUCUGAAUAGGGCGUUUAGUAUUUGGUCGUAGACCCGAAACCAGGUGAUCUACCCUUGGUCAGGUUGAAGUUCAGGUAACACUGAAUGGAGGACCGAACCGACUUACGUUGAAAAGUGAGCGGAUGAACUGAGGGUAGCGGAGAAAUUCCAAUCGAACCUGGAGAUAGCUGGUUCUCUCCGAAAUAGCUUUAGGGCUAGCCUCAAGUGAUGAUUAUUGGAGGUAGAGCACUGUUUGGACGAGGGGCCCCUCUCGGGUUACCGAAUUCAGACAAACUCCGAAUGCCAAUUAAUUUAACUUGGGAGUCAGAACAUGGGUGAUAAGGUCCGUGUUCGAAAGGGAAACAGCCCAGACCACCAGCUAAGGUCCCAAAAUAUAUGUUAAGUGGAAAAGGAUGUGGCGUUGCCCAGACAACUAGGAUGUUGGCUUAGAAGCAGCCAUCAUUUAAAGAGUGCGUAAUAGCUCACUAGUCGAGUGACACUGCGCCGAAAAUGUACCGGGGCUAAACAUAUUACCGAAGCUGUGGAUUGUCCUUUGGACAAUGGUAGGAGAGCGUUCUAAGGGCGUUGAAGCAUGAUCGUAAGGACAUGUGGAGCGCUUAGAAGUGAGAAUGCCGGUGUGAGUAGCGAAAGACGGGUGAGAAUCCCGUCCACCGAUUGACUAAGGUUUCCAGAGGAAGGCUCGUCCGCUCUGGGUUAGUCGGGUCCUAAGCUGAGGCCGACAGGCGUAGGCGAUGGAUAACAGGUUGAUAUUCCUGUACCACCUAUAAUCGUUUUAAUCGAUGGGGGGACGCAGUAGGAUAGGCGAAGCGUGCGAUUGGAUUGCACGUCUAAGCAGUAAGGCUGAGUAUUAGGCAAAUCCGGUACUCGUUAAGGCUGAGCUGUGAUGGGGAGAAGACAUUGAGUCUUCGAGUCGUUGAUUUCACACUGCCGAGAAAAGCCUCUAGAUAGAAAAUAGGUGCCCGUACCGCAAACCGACACAGGUAGUCAAGAUGAGAAUUCUAAGGUGAGCGAGCGAACUCUCGUUAAGGAACUCGGCAAAAUGACCCCGUAACUUCGGGAGAAGGGGUGCUCUUUAGGGUUAACGCCCAGAAGAGCCGCAGUGAAUAGGCCCAAGCGACUGUUUAUCAAAAACACAGGUCUCUGCUAAACCGUAAGGUGAUGUAUAGGGGCUGACGCCUGCCCGGUGCUGGAAGGUUAAGAGGAGUGGUUAGCUUCUGCGAAGCUACGAAUCGAAGCCCCAGUAAACGGCGGCCGUAACUAUAACGGUCCUAAGGUAGCGAAAUUCCUUGUCGGGUAAGUUCCGACCCGCACGAAAGGCGUAACGAUUUGGGCACUGUCUCAACGAGAGACUCGGUGAAAUCAUAGUACCUGUGAAGAUGCAGGUUACCCGCGACAGGACGGAAAGACCCCGUGGAGCUUUACUGUAGCCUGAUAUUGAAAUUCGGCACAGCUUGUACAGGAUAGGUAGGAGCCUUUGAAACGUGAGCGCUAGCUUACGUGGAGGCGCUGGUGGGAUACUACCCUAGCUGUGUUGGCUUUCUAACCCGCACCACUUAUCGUGGUGGGAGACAGUGUCAGGCGGGCAGUUUGACUGGGGCGGUCGCCUCCUAAAAGG